AAAAAGAUAAACCCUAGAUUUCCGUGUCCAACUUUAACUGUCCGUCUUAUAUAAAACUUUUUUAUAAUUCGUAUUUUCAUUGUUGUUAGAUGAUAAAACAUAAUUAAUAUUUUAAGCGUGACUUGUCUUUUUAAUUUUUUUUUAUAAUUUUUUUAAAUAAGACGGACGGUCAAAUAUUGGACAUAGAAAUCAGGGUUUAUCUUUUU
This is a non-coding RNA of Oryza nivara, 206 nucleotides long. Lineage: Eukaryota; Viridiplantae; Streptophyta; Magnoliopsida; Poales; Poaceae. The record is from Rfam.